This is a non-coding RNA of Salmo salar (Atlantic salmon), 54 nucleotides long. The record is from Rfam. Lineage: Eukaryota; Metazoa; Chordata; Actinopteri; Salmoniformes; Salmonidae.
CACACCAGUAUUUGUAAGUCGCUCUGGAUAAGAGCGUCUGCUAAAUUACGUAAA